Molecule: ribosomal RNA, 816 nt
Filed under: Hevansia nelumboides
Lineage: Eukaryota; Fungi; Ascomycota; Sordariomycetes; Hypocreales; Cordycipitaceae
Description: LSU rRNA
Rfam family: Eukaryotic large subunit ribosomal RNA
Source: RNAcentral
AGUGAAGCGGCAGCAGCUCAAAUUUGAAAUCCGGCCCCCGGGGCCCGAGUUGUAAUUUGCAGAGGAUGCUUCGGGCGAGGCGCCUUCCGAGUUCCCUGGAACGGGACGCCGCAGAGGGUGAGAGCCCCGUCUGGUCGGACGCCGAGCCCGCGUGAAGCCCCUUCGACGAGUCGAGUAGUUUGGGAAUGCUGCUCAAAACGGGAGGUAUAUGUCUUCUAAAGCUAAAUACCGGCCAGAGACCGAUAGCGCACAAGUAGAGUGAUCGAAAGAUGAAAAGCACUUUGGAAAGAGGGUUAAAAAGUACGUGAAAUUGUUGAAAGGGAAGCGCCCGCGACCAGACUUGGGCCCGGCGGAUCACCCGGCGUUCUCGCCGGCGCACUCCGCCGGGCGCAGGCCAGCAUCGGUCCGGCGCGGGGGACAAAGGCCCUGGGAACGUGGCUCCCCCGGGAGUGUUAUAGCCCACCGCGCAAUGCCCCGCGCCGGACCGAGGAACGCGCACCGCAAGGAUGCUGGCGUAAUGGUCGCCGGCGACCCGUCUUGAAACACGGACCAAGGAGUCGUCUUCGUAUGCGAGUGUUCGGGUGUCAAACCCCUACGCGGAAUGAAAGUGAACGCAGGUGAGAGCCUCGGCGCAUCAUCGACCGAUCCUGAUGUCCUCGGAUGGAUUUGAGUAGGAGCAUACGGGGCCGGACCCGAAAGAAGGUGAACUAUGCCUGCGUAGGGUGAAGCCAGAGGAAACUCUGGUGGAGGCUCGCAGCGGUUCUGACGUGCGAAUCGAUCGUCAAACGUGGGCAUGGGGGCGAAAGACUAAUCGAA